Molecule: ribosomal RNA, 440 nt
Filed under: uncultured bacterium
Lineage: Bacteria
Description: partial 16S ribosomal RNA
Rfam family: Bacterial small subunit ribosomal RNA
Source: RNAcentral
CCUACGGGAGGCAGCAGUGGGGAAUAUUGCACAAUGGGGGAAACUCUGAUGCAGCGACGCCGCGUGAGUGAAGAAGUUUUUCGGUAUGUAAAGCUCUGUCAGCAGGGAAGAAAAUGACGGUAGCUGCUCAAGAAUCCCCGGCUCCCUACGUUCCAUCCGCCGCGGUAAUACGUCGGGGGCAAGCGUUAUCCGGAUUUACUGGGUGUAACUGGAGCGUAGACGGCAGGGCAAGUCAGGAGUGAAAGGCGGAGUCUCAACCCCCGAACUGCUCUGGAAACUGCCAGGCUGGAGUGCAGGAGAGGUAAGUGGAAUUCCUAGUGUAGCGGUGAAAUGCGUAGAUAUUAGGAGGAACACCAGUGGCGAAGGCGGCUUACUGGACUGUAACUGACGUUGAGGCACGAAAGCGUGGGGAGCAAACAGGAUUAGAUACCCCGGUAGUC